This 364-nucleotide RNase P RNA is filed under the name Bacillota bacterium. Its description in RNAcentral is "Bacterial RNase P class A". It matches the Rfam family "Bacterial RNase P class A". Rfam says of the family: Ribonuclease P (RNase P) is a ubiquitous endoribonuclease, found in archaea, bacteria and eukarya as well as chloroplasts and mitochondria. Its best characterised activity is the generation of mature 5'-ends of tRNAs by cleaving the 5'-leader elements of precursor-tRNAs. The record is from Rfam by way of RNAcentral. Lineage: Bacteria; Bacillati; Bacillota. RNAcentral also lists the same sequence under 1 other name.
CGAGUGAAUUGAGCAGUCGCGCCGUCAAAUCGGCGAGGAAAGUCCGGGCUCCGCAGGGCAGAGUGCUGGUUAAUGGCCAGUCGGGGUAACCUGAAGGAAAGUGCCACAGAGAUAUACCGCCCCUCGGGGUAAGGGUGAAAAGGUGAGGUAAGAGCUCACCAGCGACCUGGUGACAGGUACGGCUAGGUAAACCCCACUUGGAGCAAGACCUAAUAGGGGAGAGUUAAGAGCUGCCCGCUCGUUCUCCCGGGUUGGUCGCUAUGCGCACCUUGGUGCGAAGGAGGUCUACGGCAACGUAGAUCCUAGAUAGAUGACUGCUGCCGCGCGAGCGGUACAGAACCCGGCUUAUAGAUUCACUCGACAG